CAGUGGGAGCACGCUUAGGCGUGUGACUGCGUACCUUUUGUAUAAUGGGUCAGCGACUUAUAUUCUGUAGCAAGGUUAACCGAAUAGGGGAGCCGAAGGGAAACCGAGUCUUAACUGGGCGUUAAGUUGCAGGGUAUAGACCCGAAACCCGGUGAUCUAGCCAUGGGCAGGUUGAAGGUUGGGUAACACUAACUGGAGGACCGAACCGACUAAUGUUGAAAAAUUAGCGGAUGACUUGUGGCUGGGGGUGAAAGGCCAAUCAAACCGGGAGAUAGCUGGUUCUCCCCGAAAGCUAUUUAGGUAGCGCCUCGUGAAUUCAUCUCCGGGGGUAGAGCACUGUUUCGGCAAGGGGGUCAUCCCGACUUACCAACCCGAUGCAAACUGCGAAUACCGGAGAAUGUUAUCACGGGAGACACACGGCGGGUGCUAACGUCCGUCGUGAAGAGGGAAACAACCCAGACCGCCAGCUAAGGUCCCAAAGUCAUGGUUAAGUGGGAAACGAUGUGGGAAGGCCCAGACAGCCAGGAUGUUGGCUUAGAAGCAGCCAUCAUUUAAAGAAAGCGUAAUAGCUCACUGGUCGAGUCGGCCUGCGCGGAAGAUGUAACGGGGCUAAACCAUGCACCGAAGCUGCGGCAGCGACGCUUAUGCGUUGUUGGGUAGGGGAGCGUUCUGUAAGCCUGUGAAGGUGUACUGUGAGGUAUGCUGGAGGUAUCAGAAGUGCGAAUGCUGACAUAAGUAACGAUAAAGCGGGUGAAAAGCCCGCUCGCCGGAAGACCAAGGGUUCCUGUCCAACGUUAAUCGGGGCAGGGUGAGUCGACCCCUAAGGCGAGGCCGAAAGGCGUAGUCGAUGGGAAACAGGUUAAUAUUCCUGUACUUGGUGUUACUGCGAAGGGGGGACGGAGAAGGCUAUGUUGGCCGGGCGACGGUUGUCCCGGUUUAAGCGUGUAGGCUGGUUUUCCAGGCAAAUCCGGAAAAUCAAGGCUGAGGCGUGAUGACGAGGCACUACGGUGCUGAAGCAACAAAUGCCCUGCUUCCAGGAAAAGCCUCUAAGCAUCAGGUAACAUCAAAUCGUACCCCAAACCGACACAGGUGGUCAGGUAGAGAAUACCAAGGCGCUUGAGAGAACUCGGGUGAAGGAACUAGGCAAAAUGGUGCCGUAACUUCGGGAGAAGGCACGCUGAUAUGUAGGUGAAGUCCCUCGCGGAUGGAGCUGAAAUCAGUCGAAGAUACCAGCUGGCUGCAACUGUUUAUUAAAAACACAGCACUGUGCAAACACGAAAGUGGACGUAUACGGUGUGACGCCUGCCCGGUGCCGGAAGGUUAAUUGAUGGGGUUAGCGCAAGCGAAGCUCUUGAUCGAAGCCCCGGUAAACGGCGGCCGUAACUAUAACGGUCCUAAGGUAGCGAAAUUCCUUGUCGGGUAAGUUCCGACCUGCACGAAUGGCGUAAUGAUGGCCAGGCUGUCUCCACCCGAGACUCAGUGAAAUUGAACUCGCUGUGAAGAUGCAGUGUACCCGCGGCAAGACGGAAAGACCCCGUGAACCUUUACUAUAGCUUGACACUGAACAUUGAGCCUUGAUGUGUAGGAUAGGUGGGAGGCUUUGAAGUGUGGACGCCAGUCUGCAUGGAGCCGACCUUGAAAUACCACCCUUUAAUGUUU
RNAcentral lists this ribosomal RNA (1659 nucleotides) under Escherichia coli. Its description in RNAcentral is "partial 23S ribosomal RNA". It matches the Rfam family "Bacterial large subunit ribosomal RNA", at positions 571 to 2215 of the family's 2925-position model. Lineage: Bacteria; Pseudomonadati; Pseudomonadota; Gammaproteobacteria; Enterobacterales; Enterobacteriaceae. The record is from RNAcentral.